Molecule: long non-coding RNA, 2139 nt
Filed under: Helianthus annuus (common sunflower)
Lineage: Eukaryota; Viridiplantae; Streptophyta; Magnoliopsida; Asterales; Asteraceae
Description: hypothetical non coding rna
Source: RNAcentral
ACAAGACUAGAUAGAAAUGAUUACCACGUAAGCAUGUGCAAGACAAAGCACACUUCCUUCACAAAUCAUGGAUGUGAGGGUUUUGAGUGCAUAGUAUGCAAAGAAAUAAUUCCUCUCCCUGCUGUAUGCCAGAAUUACUGUUUCAUCCACCAAAUAAUGAGUUAGUAACUACUAUGUACAUCAUGCUUAGACAUUUGUACUUUCUAAUUCUUCUAUAAGAAUUCACUUAGUAUUAUCUUUGUUCAAAUAUGUGGUUAAAAAAUACAAACAUAACAUAAUGAGGUUAGACAUCAAGAACACAAACAUGAAACCAAAUAUUACAUUCGUUGUGAUAGAAUUUUAAGUGACAUACGAGGCGUCAUUUGUGAAUUGGGUUGUUUCCGAAUGUCAUUCUGAUAUAGGGCUAUAAAUUAUAUGCAAGGUAAAAUACUAAUGUGAGACCGAUAACAAAGGAGUAUCAGAGUCGGAAAAUGAAAAGGAUUUUAUAAUGACAUUCUAAGAGUUUUUGUGAUUGAUGGGAAGGAAGCGAAUGGAAGUUGAUGACUUGUCUCGGUCAGAUGUGGAAUUGUGAAAAUCAGUUCGUCGACUGACUCGUACAGUUAGAUAUGGACCGGUGCGGAUUCUAUAGUUACAAUUUAAUAAACAAAGUAGAAUCAAUAUUCAAAUUAUAUAAAGAAAAAUGCAUCCAUGUAGAAGGUGGUGGCCUUGUUUUGUUAGAAUCUUUUUAAGAUUGGGUGGUGAUGACAUAGAAAUAAGAAAGUAGAUGUAUAAGUGUACUAAAUGGGUAAAAUCAAUGUGGACUUGGGAACUUGUAAGCUAAACGGAAAAACAAAGGGUAUCAAGAUAAAAAAGAAGACAAAGAAGUUGGACCUAAAAGUUAAUAAAAAGUAGGAUAUAUGUGCUUUAUUGAAUGAAUUACCAAAGAUGAUGUAACAACAAUGGCUAUUGACAAAGCAAUAAAAGUUGUAAAACCAUAACUAUAUCUUCUUCCAUAGGAAAUUCUCAAAAUCAUAAAUUUAUAAUUUUAAAAUCCAGUUAACUGUAUUAUAUUUUAAUUUUACCCAAAUAAUUUUCGGCAUAUAAUAUACUUUUCAUCACUUAACCUUUUCAUGUGUACAUAUGUAAAUCAAUAUAACUUAUAAUAUCAUUAUAUUAUUUUCUUCCUUAUAACUUCUUACUAAUAACAAGCAUAUUAUAUUUUAAACUUUCUUAACCUAAACCCUAACCGUACAUAUGUAACUAUGUAAGUCAAUACAACUUAUAGUAUCAUUAUAUUAUUUUCUUCCUUAUAACUUCUUAAUAAUAAACAUAUUAGAUUUUCAACAUUCUAACCUAAACCCUAACCAGUAAAUAACUCAUAACCCGUUACACCCAAAGAAUAUAGAGAUUGAUCAACAACUACUUUUUUAUUCUAAAAUAAGGUAUAGAGAUUAAUCAACAACUACUUUUUUAUACUAAAGUAAGGUAAAUGUCACGAGUUUGAAAAUACAUAUUAUAUCAUUUUUUUUUGUAAAAUAAAUAUAAAUUCAUGUAAGUUCUACGAGGAUAUACAAUCAUCUCAUAUAAUAAAUCAAAAAUAAAUUAUAAUACAAUAGUUACUUAUUAACAUAUUUAAUUGACAUAAAGGACAAAACUAGUUAGGAAAAUAUAAUAACAUUUUAUCUCUUAUUAUUGCUUAUGCAUUUUAGACUUUAGUUUACAAAUUAGUUUAUUCUUUAUCACUAAAAGCCACCAUUAUCAUAAGACGGUCUUUCUUAGUGGCGUUAAAUACCAAUCAUAUCCUUACAUCUCCUCUUAACUUUUUCGUUCUUUUGGUUCCAAAAUCUCCUGAAAAUUUUAUUUUUGUUUUAAAAAUUAUCCAAUAGAAAUUGGCACCUUCCUUUUAUUUGCAAUACUAUAUGUAAACACAGAAAUAUUAGAAAAUUAAAAAAAAAAAAAAAAAAAAACUCUUUAAUUAUCAUAUCAAAUUUAUUAUUAAUCACAAUAUACGUACACAUAAAAAGGAAAAAGGGAGGAUAAUGGUUGUGAACGACUAGAGGUAACGAACUAACGAUGCAAGUUAAACUUAGGUAUACAAAAUAUAGUGAAAAUAAAACUCAAAAAGACUCGACACAAACAGGAGAAAGAAAGAAAAAAUAA